GAUGAACGCUGGCGGCGUGCUUAACACAUGCAAGUCGAACGAUGAAGCCCAGCUUGCUGGGUGGAUUAGUGGCGAACGGGUGAGUAACACGUGAGUAACCUGCCCUUAACUCUGGGAUAAGCCGGGGAAACUGGGUCUAAUACCGGAUAGGAGCGCCUACCGAAUGGUGGGUGUUGGAAAGAUUUAUCGGUUUUGGAUGGACUCGCGGCCUAUCAGCUUGUUGGUGAGGUAAUGGCUCACCAAGGCGACGACGGGUAGCCGGCCUGAGAGGGUGACCGGCCCCACUGGGACUGAGACACGGCCCAGACUCCUACGGUAGGCAGCAGUGGGGAAUAUUGCACAAUGGGCGAAAGCCUGAUGCAGCGACGCCGCGUGUGGGAUGACGGCCUUCGGGUUGUAAACCUCUUUCGGUAGGGAAGAAGCGAAAGUGACGGUACCUGCAGAAGAAGCACCGGCUAACUACGUG
Molecule: ribosomal RNA, 466 nt
Filed under: uncultured bacterium
Lineage: Bacteria
Description: partial 16S ribosomal RNA
Rfam family: Bacterial small subunit ribosomal RNA
Source: RNAcentral